AGAAGAAAGAAGUCAGUGUAUCCAGUGAGACUGUAGAAAGCAUUUCUAGUGAGGAAUCCAUUACCCACAUCAAUAAG
Molecule: long non-coding RNA, 77 nt
Organism: Pipistrellus kuhlii (Kuhl's pipistrelle)
Lineage: Eukaryota; Metazoa; Chordata; Mammalia; Chiroptera; Vespertilionidae
Exons: 3
Source: RefSeq, a predicted model, not a curated record